RNAcentral lists this ribosomal RNA (279 nucleotides) under uncultured bacterium. RNAcentral describes it as "partial 16S ribosomal RNA". It matches the Rfam family "Bacterial small subunit ribosomal RNA", at positions 66 to 341 of the family's 1533-position model. The record is from RNAcentral.
GCAAGUUUUGAUAGCAAUAUUAGGAACCUAGAGCGGCGCACGGGUGAGUAACGCGUACAUGACCUGCCCUAUACUGGGGGAUAGUCUUGGGAAACUGAGAAUAAUCCCGCAUGUGAUUAGAAUGCUGCAUGGCAAAUUAAUUAAAGCUGAGGCGGUAUAGCGAUGGGUGUGCGUCUGAUUAGCUAGUUGGUAGUGUAACGGACUACCAAGGCGAUGAUCAGUAGGGGGCGUGAGAGCGUGACCCCCCACACGGGUACUGAGACACGGACCCGACUCCUC